UGGGGAAUAUUGGACAAUGGGUGAGAGCCUGAUCCAGCCAUGCCGCGUGCAGGAAGAAGGCGUUAUGCGUUGUAAACUGCUUUUUGCCAGGGGAUAAAAUGACCGUGCGCGGUUAAUUGAAGGUACCUGGUGAAUAAGCCACGGCUAACUACGUGCCAGCAGCCGCGGUAAUACGUAGGUGGCAAGCGUUGUCCGGAUUUAUUGGGUUUAAAGGGUGCGUAGGUGGCCCUGUAAGUCAGUGGUGAAAUAUCUCAGCUUAACUGAGAGGGUGCCAUUGAUACUGCAGGGCUUGAGUACAGAUGAGGUAGGCGGAAUUGACGGUGUAGCGGUGAAAUGCAUAGAUAUCGUCAAGAACACCGAUAGCGAAGGCAGCUUACCAAGCUGUAACUGACACUGAGGCACGAAAGUGUGGGGAUCAAACAGGAUUAGAUACCCAAGUAGUCCCUGAGCGGGCUGGCAAGGCGCAU
Molecule: ribosomal RNA, 467 nt
Filed under: uncultured bacterium
Lineage: Bacteria
Description: bacterial SSU rRNA
Rfam family: Bacterial small subunit ribosomal RNA
Source: RNAcentral